UGGGGAAUUUUGGACAAUGGGCGCAAGCCUGAUCCAGCAACGCCGCGUGCAGGAUGAAGGCCUUCGGGUUGUAAACUGCUUUUGUACGGAGCGAAAAGGUCUGCCCUAAUACGGUGGGCUAAUGACGGUACCGUAAGAAUAAGCACCGGCUAACUACGUGCCAGCAGCCGCGGUAAUACGUAGGGUGCGAGCGUUAAUCGGAAUUACUGGGCGUAAAGCGUGCGCAGGCGGUGAUGUAAGACAGAUGUGAAAUCCCCGGGCUCAACCUGGGACCUGCAUUUGUGACUGCAUCGCUGGAGUGCGGCAGAGGGGGAUGGAAUUCCGCGUGUAGCAGUGAAAUGCGUAGAUAUGCGGAGGAACACCGAUGGCGUAGGCAAUCCCCUGGGCCUGCACUGACGCUCAUGCACGAAAGCGUGGGGAGCAAACA
This 427-nucleotide ribosomal RNA is filed under the name uncultured bacterium. Its description in RNAcentral is "bacterial SSU rRNA". It matches the Rfam family "Bacterial small subunit ribosomal RNA", at positions 355 to 774 of the family's 1533-position model. The record is from RNAcentral.